Long non-coding RNA from Poecilia reticulata (guppy), 847 nucleotides. RefSeq lists it as uncharacterized. The record is from RefSeq and is a predicted model, not a curated record. Lineage: Eukaryota; Metazoa; Chordata; Actinopteri; Cyprinodontiformes; Poeciliidae.
UCAUACAAACAUCUAAUCACAAACAAGCCAAUAGCACUAGGUAGGAUAACAUCCGGCGCAUUCAUGUGGAUCAGCCCGGGAACAAACAUGGGAGUAACCCAGCCGAAGCACAUCAGCAAUUCUGCAGGUUUGACUUUGGUUCACGACAAACACCAGGAGUGCAGUUUUGUUAUGGAGAACAUGCCAAGACAAGGGAACAAGCUGCGGUGAGAGAUGAGGGUCUGCGCUACUGGAGCUGAGCAGCAUAACAAGGGUGUGGUGGCUCGGAGAAAGGAAUUUCCUCGGGACAGAACUAAUGUUUUAUCACUUACAACAGACGAACAGGACAGACUUUGACCGCAUAACCAAAUAAGAAAGUCGACCAUUUUAAAAGGAAUACAGGAGUCCAUUUUCGUCCACAGCGGAACUCCCUCCAGUUAAUUAAAGUACGCAAUGAGAGCAACAGGAAACCACGCAACAGGGAUUUGAGCUUUUUAACAUGCCAUUCUCCCAGUGAGGUCGUAAGUUCAGUCCCCCUCUCAGUACACUGCGGCACACUGUUGUGAUACAGCAACAUUGGCUUCAGGCAAUGUUCUGAGAAGUGGCUUCGAUAAUGAGCUCAGCACAGAUGUGCAGUUCCACCAGGUGUUGGGAAAUUGCUGCUGGCUAGCCUGAAGGAACUGAGUGGGAGAUACCUGGGGGAAGGAUUCUCUGUAAUCUGGAAACUCGGACGUUCAGAAGUUGCAACACCAAGGAGGAGCUUCUGCAAGGAUUAUGGUUUGACGACAUUAAAGGAAACCACUUACUAUUUGCUGGGACUUCCAUCGCGCUUCUCUUUUUCUACAUAGCCGAAUCAUGAUAGCUUCGU